CAGUUGUGCACCGCUUUUGCAGCAGGGCAUGCCAUCAUGCAUUUUGAGAGUCCACCUCUGACAGUCGCGCGGCCGAACUAGACCAACGAUCAGUGUGGACUCGGGCGCGAGGGCGGAAUGGAACAGCUGAACGCCAUCAAGAGAGAGCGGCUCCAUGCUGUGCGCGAUGACAUCGUGGCUCGGCGCGACCUGCACUGGGAGGAGCGGGCGUCGCGACCCAGCGUGGCGGAGUGGUACGCCGGCCGCAGCGUGUUCAUGACGGGCGGGUCGGGCUUCAUGGGGCGAGUCCUGAUCGAGCUGCUGCUGCGGAGCUGCCCCGACAUCGGCCACAUCUACAUCCUGCUGCGGCCCAAGAAGGGCGUGGACCCGGCCGACAGGCUGGCCGUGCUUCUGGGAGUGCCGCUGUUUGACCGACUCCGGGCGGAGCAGCCGCACGCGCUGUCCAAGGUGAAGACCGUGGCCGGCGACAUCGAGGCGCCGGGGCUGGGCCUGAGCGACGCGGACCGCGUGCACCUGUGCAGCGAGGUGUCCGUCGUCUUCCACGUGGCGGCCUCGGUGCGCUUCGACGACCCGUUCCGCAAGGCCGUGGCCACCAACCUGCGCAGCACCAAGGAGGUGGUGCAGCUCGCCGGGGACAUGCCCAAGCUCAAGGCCCUAGUGCACGUCUCGACGGCCUACACCUUCAUCAACCAGGACCCCAUCGACGAGCGCGUGUACGCGACUGACAUGAGCUGGAGAGAGGCUCUGCGCUUCGCUGAACUACCGGACAGCGACAAAGAUGCCAUCGACUUAAUCGAAGCCAAGUUGCGCGGCUGGCAGCCCAACACGUACACGCUGACCAAAAGCUUGGCGGAACGCCUCAUGGAGGAGGCGUCCGAGCGCCUGCCCGUCAUCAUCACGCGCCCGUCCAUAGUGACCACCUCGUUUAGUGACCCCCUGCCCGGCUGGAUAGACAACUUGAACGGGCAGACCAGCUUCUUGGUAGCGAACAUGAAGGGGUUGCUGCGCUUCGUGUAUGGCUACGAGAACACCUUCGACUCUGUCCCUGUGGAUGUGGCCGCCAAAGCGAUAGUGCUGGCGUCUUGGUCUAAAGGCCUGGGGAUAAAACUCAGCGAUCGGCAGGUGGACGUGGUCAACGUGACAGUGGGAAACGACUUCGCCUACAGAACCGACGAGCAGUUCCACACGGGUUUGAAGCACCGACUUCAGUACGAAAUACCGUACCCGGGGGCUAUCCGUGCGCCUCGCCUCCGAUACGAAGCGUGCCCUAUCUUGUACGCGGUGCUUCACAUCUACCACCACCUUCUCUUUGGUUUGGUAUUGGACCUCCUCGCCCCUGCAUUUGGACAAAAGCCUAGGGUACUGAACCUCUACCGCAAGGCCCAGAUGGGGUUCAACGCGACAACGCCGUUUCGCAGAAAGUUCUCGUUCAAAAUGGAAAACCAACGCAAAUUGCAGGGAAUGACGCAUCCAGCAGACCUCAAGAACCUCGACUACCUGAACAUUUACAACGCAAGGGAUAACGAACAAGAGAUAUUGAAAAACAUGAAAUUCCAUCUUCGUGGAGUGCUCCGCUACGCUCUCAAGGAGGAUGACGAUGUUGAGAAGACCGCGGCCAGACUGAAAAGGAUUGAGUGGCUCAUGAUCGCAUACCAUUCUUUCAUGGCUCUCAUUUUCCUCGGAAUCACGGCGUACUUUUGCAACCUGCUGUAGUUCACCUUUCCACACGCUCAAGAUUUUUUCGACACCUCCCGUUGUAUCUUCGACGGGGACCGCCUGUUCGACGCGAAACUUAUGCCUCCCGUUGAGCAACGACGACGGCCCGUCAAACUUUUCGUUGAACCUCGACAGACAUUCGACACCCGUGCCCAGCGGAGCCCGAUCAUCGAGCUUCAACGGAAGAACGACUGGUUCCCGUCGAAGCGUCCGCCGUCGUAGUUCAACGAGCGCGGCCUUGACGCCGAGGUCCAUGGCCAGGUCGCAAAUCCUACGAGCCCGGUGUUCGACGCGCGCUCGUUGAAGAACGACGAAAAAUGUCCCGAUUGCUCCCGUCGAAGCUUCGACGCGCUCCCGUCGUAGUAUCGAAGAAAUUCUUAGCGUGCACCUCACGGGCCUACCCACCAGUGGGCACAUGCUUCUCCGUGCAACACCGCCCAUAGAAGAAAGGCUCUGAUGACCAGGAUGGACAGCUACAUGGCUACAGAUCAUACAAGUCGCAUGCACCAAUGAAGCGGUUUACACCACCACCGUAACCAUUAGCAUCAUCAUCCAUCGAUGGUACAUGAAAACGGCCAAUUAUUUUUUGUCGUGGUUCAAAGGAUGAGUUGAACUAGAAGCCUUAGGUGCAGUCACUGUGACUGAGGGAGCUUCUAUGAGUGGCAUGAAGAGAAGACACCUCCCAGGAAACAUCAACUUCUGCGAAAAACCACUCAAUGACCAUACCAACGUAAAAUGGCCGUAGGCGUGACAACAACAUUUUUUCAUUGUAAAAAUAAGUUAAACUAGAGUAAGAAUUAGAGUCAUCAAUGGUGUCCACCGCUUAUCCUUCAAAAGUUAGAAAACAUCAAAAAUACCUAUUGUUGAAAAUUUAAUUCUUGGGCAAAGUCUCGUUUGUGCUUGUAGAAGUGAAUAGAUUAUGCACAAUGUGCAAUAUUGCUUCUGAAUUUCAAAAGAUGUCAGUGGUUACUCACCAGUGACAGAAGAAACUUUGCCUCUAAUUUGAAAAACCCACCUUGUGACCGUUGACUGGAUGUAAAUGGCUUUGUAUUGGGUGGCGCCAGAGACAUCAAACUGUAUUUUUAUUUUAAUUAUUAUUAUUAUUAUUAUUUUAUUUUUGUAGACAACAUGAGCAUUGUACAUAAUUAAAUGGGAGCGUCUCUACGCACUCCAAACUCUUAAAUUAUGAAAAAAUAAAUACUAUGGGAGAUCCUU
RNA transcript from Thrips palmi, 2931 nucleotides. It is a transcript of the gene named putative fatty acyl-CoA reductase CG5065, with no coding region annotated. Lineage: Eukaryota; Metazoa; Arthropoda; Insecta; Thysanoptera; Thripidae. The transcript has 12 exons. The record is from RefSeq and is a predicted model, not a curated record.